CGGCAGCACAGUAAGAGCUUGCUCUUACGGGUGGCGAGUGGCGGACGGGUGAGGAAUGCAUCGGAAUCUACUCUGUCGUGGGGGAUAACGUAGGGAAACUUACGCUAAUACCGCAUACGACCUACGGGUGAAAGCAGGGGAUCUUCGGACCUUGCGCGAUUGAAUGAGCCGAUGCCCGAUUAGCUAGUUGGCGGGGUAAGAGCCCACCAAGGCGACGAUCGGUAGCUGGUCUGAGAGGAUGAUCAGCCACACUGGAACUGAGACACGGUCCAGACUCCUACGGGAGGCAGCAGUGGGGAAUAUUGGACAAUGGGCGCAAGCCUGAUCCAGCCAUACCGCGUGGGUGAAGAAGGCCUUCGGGUUGUAAAGCCCUUUUGUUGGGAAAGAAAAGCAGUCGGUUAAUACCCGAUUGUUCUGACGG
RNAcentral lists this ribosomal RNA (421 nucleotides) under uncultured Stenotrophomonas sp. Its description in RNAcentral is "bacterial SSU rRNA". It matches the Rfam family "Bacterial small subunit ribosomal RNA", at positions 67 to 475 of the family's 1533-position model. The record is from RNAcentral. Lineage: Bacteria; Pseudomonadati; Pseudomonadota; Gammaproteobacteria; Lysobacterales; Lysobacteraceae.